Herpailurus yagouaroundi (jaguarundi) is the source of this 386-nucleotide long non-coding RNA. RefSeq lists it as uncharacterized. The transcript is spliced from 2 exons. Lineage: Eukaryota; Metazoa; Chordata; Mammalia; Carnivora; Felidae. The record is from RefSeq and is a predicted model, not a curated record.
AUGUGCUCUGCACCUGUGAGCACUGCUAUAUUAAAGAGGGGGGUCAUACACUGUCCAGGGCCUGGCCCUUCAGGAGGUGUUUUUUGGAGAGUGUUACUUGCUUUGUGUUGCUGUGACUUUGGUUAUUAUAUUUCCCUACUCGUAGUGAUGCUUUGGACCCUCCACCAGAUGUGCUUUGAUUUGUUCCUUGAAGUAGCCCUGGAAAGGAAAACAAACAGAAAACAAAACACAGAAACACACAAAUAAAAAAAGAAAAGGAAAGGAAAAAAACAACCCAAAAGCAAAAAACCAGAAAUACCAGCUGCAAGUAAAGAACAGGGUAGAGGUGGUGCUGAUGGAAGAGCACAUACAAAGAGAGAAAUGACAAGGGUAGGGAAAAAGAAAAA